AGAGGGUUGCGCUCCCCGAGCGGCGCCAGAGGGGCCUGGAGAGACUUGGGCAUGUGAUAAAAAGCAAGCGGAGGGGGAGGAGGAGAAGGGAGAGGCAGAGAUGCGCCGGGACUUCUUCGGCGAGGGGAGCCGGCGGGAGAAACGUGGCCGGGAGAGAGCUCACGCCCCAGCAGCGGCUUGUGGAGCGCGAGGGGAAGAGCCGCCCGCCCGCCUCCCUCCUUAGGAAUCCCAAGUGGCGAAGGAGCGGCAUCCGCAGCGCGAGGCUCCCCCUGACUGCUUGGAGCGGACGGAGCGAGGGGAGGGGGAAGCCCCCAGCUGCAAGGAGCCAUCAUCGCUCCAUCCUGCGGCACCGCGCGAGAGAGGAGAGGAGAGGGAGAGAGCGCGCGCGCGCGCGAGACAGAGGAGAGCCCCAUGUGCGCAGAUGGCAGUGUGGAAGCCAAGUACAUACUGGCAGAAGUUAUUUUCUCUCUCUCUCUCUGUGUCUCCCUGAGAAAAUGAAGAGAGUGAACACAUGACUAGGCUUGGGAACUUGAGAAACCACAGG
Molecule: long non-coding RNA, 544 nt
Organism: Eublepharis macularius
Lineage: Eukaryota; Metazoa; Chordata; Lepidosauria; Squamata; Eublepharidae
Exons: 2
Source: RefSeq, a predicted model, not a curated record